AGUGAACGCUGGCGGUAGGCCUAACACAUGCAAGUCGAACGGCAGCACAGUAAGAGCUUGCUCUUACGGGUGGCGAGUGGCGGACGGGUGAGGAAUACAUCGGAAUCUACUUUUUCGUGGGGGAUAACGUAGGGAAACUUACGCUAAUACCGCAUACGACCUACGGGUGAAAGCAGGGGAUCUUCGGACCUUGCGCGAGUGAAUGAGCCGAUGUCGGAUUAGCUAGUUGGCGGGGUAAAGGCCCACCAAGGCGACGAUCCGUAGCUGGUCUGAGAGGAUGAUCAGCCACACUGGAACUGGGACACGGUCCAGACUCCUACGGGAGGCAGCAGUGGGGAAUAUUGGACAAUGGGCGCAAGCCUGAUCCAGCCAUACCGCGUGGGUGAAGAAGGCCUUCGGGUUGUAAAGCCCUUUUGUUGGGAAAGAAAAGCAGCAGGUUAAUACCCCGCUGUUCUGACGGUACCCAAAGAAUAAGCACCGGCUAACUUCGUG
This 492-nucleotide ribosomal RNA is filed under the name uncultured bacterium. Its description in RNAcentral is "partial 16S ribosomal RNA". It matches the Rfam family "Bacterial small subunit ribosomal RNA", at positions 29 to 507 of the family's 1533-position model. The record is from RNAcentral.